RNAcentral lists this RNase P RNA (377 nucleotides) under Microthrixaceae bacterium. RNAcentral describes it as "RNase P RNA component class A". It matches the Rfam family "Bacterial RNase P class A". Rfam says of the family: Ribonuclease P (RNase P) is a ubiquitous endoribonuclease, found in archaea, bacteria and eukarya as well as chloroplasts and mitochondria. Its best characterised activity is the generation of mature 5'-ends of tRNAs by cleaving the 5'-leader elements of precursor-tRNAs. Cellular RNase Ps are ribonucleoproteins. The record is from RNAcentral. Lineage: Bacteria; Bacillati; Actinomycetota; Acidimicrobiia; Acidimicrobiales; Microthrixaceae.
UGAGCCGUUCGGGUGACCGCGGCUCGGGACUCGUUCCCGGGUCGAGGAAGGUCGGGACUCCGCAGGGCAGGGUGCUGGCGUGAGCCAGGUCGGAGCGAUCUGACGGUACAGGGCAACAGAGAGCAGACCGCCGAUGGCGUUCCUCCGGGAACGCACAGGUGAGGGUGAAACGGUGCGGUAAGAGCGCACCAGCGUCGGGGGUGACUCCGGCGGCUGGGUAACCCCCACCCGGGAGCAAGGCCGAGCAGAGGGCACGGGCAGCCCGUCCGUCCGGGCAACCGGACACCCUCGGGUAGGCCGCAAAGAUGGAUGGUCACCGAACCGGACCCCCGCAAGGGACCGGGGAACAGAAUCCCGCCUACAGGACGGCUCACCGG